Molecule: ribosomal RNA, 1429 nt
Filed under: uncultured prokaryote
Description: partial 16S ribosomal RNA
Rfam family: Bacterial small subunit ribosomal RNA
Source: RNAcentral
CGGCAUGGAUUAGGCAUGCAAGUCGAACGCAACUCCCGCUUCGGCGGGACGAGAGUGGCGAAAGGGUGAGUAACACGUGAGUAACCUGCCCCCGAAAGCGGAAUACCGCGGGAGAACGGGAUUAAUGCCGGAUGAGGUCCUCCGUCGCAUGUCGGAGGCACCAAAGGUCCGCUGUUCGGGGAUGGGCUCGCGGCCCAUUAGCUUGUUGGCGGGGUAACGGCCCACCAAGGCGAUGACGGGUAGCUGGUCUGAGAGGAUGAUCAGCCACACUGGGACUGAGACACUGCCCAGACUCCUACGGGAGGCUGCAGUCGAGAAUCUUCCGCAAUGCGCGAAAGCGUGACGGAGCAAUGCCGCGUGAGGGAUGAAGGCUUUCGGGUCGUAAACCUCUGUCACAAGGGAUGAAUAAAUGACAGUACCUUGAGAGGAAGCCACGGCUAACUACGUGCCAGCAGCCGCGGUAAUACGUAGGUGGCGAGCGUUAUUCGGAUUUACUGGGCGUAAAGGGUCCGUAGGGGGAUGAAUAAGUUUGAUGUGAAAUUUCGAGGCUCAACCUCGAACCUGCAUUGGAAACUGGCGGACUUGAGUCCGCGAGGGGUGAACGGAAUUCCUGGUGUAGCGGUGGAAUGCGUAGAUAUCAGGAAGAACACCGAUGGCGAAGGCGGUUCACUGGCGCGGUACUGACUCUGAGGGACGAAAGCGUGGGUAGCGAACAGGAUUAGAUACCCUGGUAGUCCACGCCGUAAACGUUGUGCGCUAGAUGCGGGGGGUCUGAUCCCCUCCGUGUCCAAGCUAACGCGAUAAGCGCACCGGCUGGGGACUACGGUCGCAAGACUAAAACUCAAAGGAAUUGACGGGGGCCCGCUCAAGCGGUGGAGCAUGUGGCUUAAUUCGAGGCAACGCGAAGAACCUUACCUGGGUUUGACAUAUACCGGACCGGUGUGGAAACACACCUUCCCUUCGGGGCUGCUAUACAGAUGCUGCAUGGCUGUCGUCAGCUCGUGUCGUGAGAUGUUCGGUUAAGUCCGGCAACGAGCGCAACCCGUGUCGUCAGUUGCCAGCAGGUAAUGCUGGGCACUCUGGCGAGACUGCCCGUGUUAAGCGGGAGGAAGGCGCGGAUGACGUCAAGUCAGUAUGGCUCUUACACCCAGGGCUGCACACGUGCUACAAUGGCUGGUACAGUGAGAAGCGAAAUCGCGAGGUCGAGCAAAUCUCCAAAACCAGCCUCAGUUCGGAUUGCAGUCUGCAACUCGACUGCAUGAAGUUGGAAUCGCUAGUAAAGGCGUAUCAGCAACGGCGCCUUGAAUACGUUCCCGGGCCUUGUACACACCGCCCGUCACAUCAUGGGAGCUGGAUGCACCCGAAGUCGUUGACCUAACCCUCGGGGGAGGGAGGCGCCGAAGGUGUGUCCGGUGACUGGGAUGAAGUC